This 458-nucleotide ribosomal RNA is filed under the name uncultured Campylobacterota bacterium. RNAcentral describes it as "bacterial LSU rRNA". It matches the Rfam family "Bacterial large subunit ribosomal RNA", at positions 1369 to 1807 of the family's 2925-position model. Lineage: Bacteria; Pseudomonadati; Campylobacterota. The record is from RNAcentral.
UCAUCGUAGGGUUAGUCGGGUCCUAAGCUGAGUCCGAAAGGGGUAAGCGAUGGCAAAUCGGUUAAUAUUCCGAUACCUAUCAUAGUGUGCGAUGUGGGGACGCUUAGAGCUAAACGAGCUCACUGAUGGAAUAGUGGGUCGAAGGGUGUAGGUUGAGUGGUAGGCAAAUCCGCCAUUCUUUAUCCGAGACCUGACAGGCACCCGAUACUCUUCGGAGUGGAAGGUGAAUCGUUGAUGCUGUCGAGCCAAGAAAAGCCACUAAGUUUAGCUAUGAUAGCCCGUACCGUAAACCGACACAGGUGGGUGAGAUGAGUAUUCUAAGGCGCGUGGAAGAACUCUGGUUAAGGAACUCUGCAAACUAGCACCGUAAGUUCGCGAGAAGGUGUGCCUCCUCGGGUACUAGGUUUUACACUGAAAGCCUGAGAGGUUGCAACAAAGAGUCCCUCCCGACUGUUUAC